RNAcentral lists this long non-coding RNA (875 nucleotides) under Cyanistes caeruleus (blue tit). RNAcentral's name for it is "lncRNA (ENSCCEG00000002944.1)". The record is from RNAcentral. Lineage: Eukaryota; Metazoa; Chordata; Aves; Passeriformes; Paridae.
CUGCUCGGGGCUGGAGACAGGGCUGCUGCUCCUGAAGCCUCAGAGCUGCUCCUUCCCCUUGGCAAUCACUGCCUGCACAGUCCUGUGGUGUGGGCUGGGGCCGGCUGGGGAUAAACAGGGCGAUGUCAAGCUGGGGUGAGCUUUCCAGUCAGGUUGUGUCAGUACACAUUGCUCAAGAGGUGAAGAUGCUCAUGGUGUCUUCCCUGUCCAUUCCCUGGGCCAUUCAUUCAUUUAUUUGUGCUAGUUUUACAGGAAAUAUCCCUCCAUCUUUAACUGCAUCUUAGGUUCUUUGUCUGGCGAGCCAUAGAAAAGGCAAAAUGAGGUUCUAUAAGAAGACAUCUGUUUGUAAUGCAUGCUUUUCUUCCCUUACCUUCUUCUCCAAGACUGGAUCAAGAUUUUCCUCAUGUGAAUCCCAGGAGUAUCUGCAAAGUCCACAGCUUAUGAAAAAGUUGUCCUGGGAAAGAUAUCUCCCUCCCCUCCUCCUCCUCCACCCUGCAGCAGGACCCAUUGUCUGCCGGCGGCAAGGCAUAAAGGAGUUAACGAAGGAGCCGGCGAGGAGGUAUGACGGGGUGAUGUCAGAAUAUUUCCAGGGAAAGAAUGUGUUGGGGGGCGCUGGCCGGGCUGGGGCUGGGGCUGGCGGCCCCCGGCCCCACCCCGACAUUCUUCUUGUCCGGUUCCCACAGGCGGAGAGUGGCACGGGGGGUCAGAGUGGACGAGCACAAAGAGAGACCCCCUGCUGCCGGGGCCAUCGUGCUGGGCUGUCACUGCUACUAAUUCAUGACUUCACCUUUAAUCUCACUGAUCCAUUAUAGGUUAAAAAGAGACCCAUUUUACAGCUGACAAGAUUGAAGGGAGCGCAACCCAGGAACUCGGGG